Ochotona princeps (American pika) is the source of this 126-nucleotide small nucleolar RNA. NCBI's taxonomy places the organism in Eukaryota, Metazoa, Chordata, Mammalia, Lagomorpha, Ochotonidae. The record is from Ensembl.
GGCCCUGUGGCAUGUUUCUGUCCAACUUGUGGACACAGACUUUAUAGACAGUGCAAAAAAUCAAUCCUCUUUUGCAACCCAGAACUUCAUUGCUCAAUGUGAGUUUUGAUACAUAGAAGGAAUAUU